Molecule: ribosomal RNA, 627 nt
Filed under: Shigella flexneri
Lineage: Bacteria; Pseudomonadati; Pseudomonadota; Gammaproteobacteria; Enterobacterales; Enterobacteriaceae
Description: partial 23S ribosomal RNA
Rfam family: Bacterial large subunit ribosomal RNA
Source: RNAcentral
UAAUGGGUCAGCGACUUAUAUUCUGUAGCAAGGUUAACCGAAUAGGGGAGCCGAAGGGAAACCGAGUCUUAACUGGGCGUUAAGUUGCAGGGUAUAGACCCGAAACCCGGUGAUCUAGCCAUGGGCAGGUUGAAGGUUGGGUAACACUAACUGGAGGACCGAACCGACUAAUGUUGAAAAAUUAGCGGAUGACUUGUGGCUGGGGGUGAAAGGCCAAUCAAACCGGGAGAUAGCUGGUUCUCCCCGAAAGCUAUUUAGGUAGCGCCUCGUGAAUUCAUCUCCGGGGGUAGAGCACUGUUUCGGCAAGGGGGUCAUCCCGACUUACCAACCCGAUGCAAACUGCGAAUACCGGAGAAUGUUAUCACGGGAGACACACGGCGGGUGCUAACGUCCGUCGUGAAGAGGGAAACAACCCAGACCGCCAGCUAAGGUCCCAAAGUCAUGGUUAAGUGGGAAACGAUGUGGGAAGGCCCAGACAGCCAGGAUGUUGGCUUAGAAGCAGCCAUCAUUUAAAGAAAGCGUAAUAGCUCACUGGUCGAGUCGGCCUGCGCGGAAGAUGUAACGGGGCUAAACCAUGCACCGAAGCUGCGGCAGCGACGCUUAUGCGUUGUUGGGUAGGGGAGCGUU